Molecule: ribosomal RNA, 1073 nt
Filed under: Corynebacterium sp. HMSC071B10
Lineage: Bacteria; Bacillati; Actinomycetota; Actinomycetes; Mycobacteriales; Corynebacteriaceae
Description: bacterial SSU rRNA
Rfam family: Bacterial small subunit ribosomal RNA
Source: RNAcentral
GUGACGGUAGGUUGAGAAGAAGCACCGGCUAACUACGUGCCAGCAGCCGCGGUAAUACGUAGGGUGCGAGCGUUGUCCGGAAUUACUGGGCGUAAAGAGCUCGUAGGUGGUUUGUCGCGUCGUUUGUGGAAUACCGCAGCUUAACUGCGGGGUUGCAGGCGAUACGGGCAUAACUUGAGUGCUGUAGGGGAGACUGGAAUUCCUGGUGUAGCGGUGGAAUGCGCAGAUAUCAGGAGGAACACCGAUGGCGAAGGCAGGUCUCUGGGCAGUAACUGACGCUGAGGAGCGAAAGCAUGGGGAGCGAACAGGAUUAGAUACCCUGGUAGUCCAUGCCGUAAACGGUGGGCGCUAGGUGUGAGUCCCUUCCACGGGGUUCGUGCCGUAGCUAACGCAUUAAGCGCCCCGCCUGGGGAGUACGGCCGCAAGGCUAAAACUCAAAGGAAUUGACGGGGGCCCGCACAAGCGGCGGAGCAUGUGGAUUAAUUCGAUGCAACGCGAAGAACCUUACCUGGGCUUGACAUACACCGGACCGGGCCAGAGAUGGUCUUUCCCUUUGUGGCUGGUGUACAGGUGGUGCAUGGUUGUCGUCAGCUCGUGUCGUGAGAUGUUGGGUUAAGUCCCGCAACGAGCGCAACCCUUGUCUUAUGUUGCCAGCAUUUGGUUGGGGACUCAUGAGAGACUGCCGGGGUUAACUCGGAGGAAGGUGGGGAUGACGUCAAAUCAUCAUGCCCCUUAUGUCCAGGGCUUCACACAUGCUACAAUGGUCGGUACAACGCGUUUGCGAGCUCGUGAGGGUGGGCUAAUCGCUGAAAGCCGGUCGUAGUUCGGAUUGGGGUCUGCAACUCGACCCCAUGAAGUCGGAGUCGCUAGUAAUCGCAGAUCAGCAACGCUGCGGUGAAUACGUUCCCGGGCCUUGUACACACCGCCCGUCACGUCAUGAAAGUUGGUAACACCCGAAGCCCAUGGCCCAAACUUGUUAGGGAGUGGUCGAAGGUGGGAUCGGCGAUUGGGACGAAGUCGUAACAAGGUAGCCGUACCGGAAGGUGCGGCUGGAUCACCUCCUUUCUAAGGAG